UUGGCAACCACUGGAGGUGGAGAGAACAUGUCAGGGUGAUUUCCAGGGCUUCCAAACCUCCUGGCUCCGGGAAGGGUGUGAGCACUGGCUGCUGCCUCAUCUGUCACAGUGCUUUUAGAUAGCUAUGCGAUGCUGAAACUGAUAAGAUAAUUAAGGUGCUAAAGGCAGGCAGCUUAUGAGGAUAAACCUGGCAGCUGCUCUCUGAAGUGGCUUUGGCUGAAAGCUGUGUCCUGGUGAGGUGAGCUGUGCAUGCCAUGCUUCAGACCCACGUUUUGGCACACAGAAGAGUAUCAGAGUGAUUCACUGGAUCACAGGCUUUUUCGGUUGGAGCUAAUCAAAUAAUCACGUCCCUGUCUGCAAAUAACUAUAGUUGUACCCAAAUCUGCGUUUUUGCCAAAAAGAUUAUUCAACUGAAAAAAUCUUAUCCUGUGCUGCAUGAGGCAGACCAGCUUACUAUCACCUCUUGAGCAAGUGAGACACGCAGGAAGAAAAAGCUUCCUCAAGAUAAGAGCAGGAUCGUAUACUGUACGUGCAUUCAGUGGAUCAAAACAUGAAGCUUUGCUGACAGCAUUUCCUUCUCCAUCCACAACGCUGGUAUCCUCUGCCUUGUAUUUCCAAGGUGUGUUCUCAACUCUGACAUUCAGGUUAUCAAGAGGCUAACACUAGCUUAUUAUCAUGCCAUUUUUCUGACUGCAAGGGGAUUUACACACAGACUGAAGAACUGCAGAAUAGAUAGAGGCAAGGGAAUUACUGUAAAAAAUAAUCCAGCCUCAUUUUUCCUCAUUUGACUCUUCAGUCACUUAUUUGUUUUCUUGGUUAGUAUCCAAAUUUAUUCUUGAGCUUGGUUUGGCAACUCAGCUUCUUC
RNAcentral lists this long non-coding RNA (865 nucleotides) under Chloebia gouldiae (Gouldian finch). RNAcentral describes it as "Erythrura gouldiae (Gouldian finch) lncRNA (ENSEGOG00005003470.1)". The record is from RNAcentral. Lineage: Eukaryota; Metazoa; Chordata; Aves; Passeriformes; Passeridae.